RNAcentral lists this ribosomal RNA (274 nucleotides) under uncultured bacterium. Its description in RNAcentral is "partial 16S ribosomal RNA". It matches the Rfam family "Bacterial small subunit ribosomal RNA", at positions 523 to 796 of the family's 1533-position model. The record is from RNAcentral.
AUACGGAGGGUGCAGGCGUUACUCGGAAUCACUGGGCGUAAAGCGCGCGCAGGCGGAUUGGCAAGUUGGAUGUGAAAGCCUGCGGCUCAACCGCAGAACUGCAUCCAAAACUGUCAGUCUAGAGUCUGGGAGAGGUAGCUGGAAUUAGUGGUGUAGGGGUAAAAUCCGUAGAGAUCACUAGGAAUACCGAAAGCGAAGGCGAGCUACUGGAACAGUACUGACGCUGAGGCGCGAAAGCGUGGGGAGCAAACAGGAUUAGAUACCCUAGUAGUCC